This is a long non-coding RNA of Myotis myotis, 486 nucleotides long. RefSeq lists it as uncharacterized. Lineage: Eukaryota; Metazoa; Chordata; Mammalia; Chiroptera; Vespertilionidae. The transcript has 2 exons. The record is from RefSeq and is a predicted model, not a curated record.
UGCCUCUACCAGCCUCCACCUGCCUCUACCAGCCCCCACCUGCCCCCACCUGCCUCCACCUACUUCCACCUGCCCCCACCGGCCAGCUCAGUCGCUAAAAGAGCCCCUGGUGGUGUGUAACUGUGCAAGGUGGGUUCUCAAUGAGUCUCCAGGUAGAGAAAUCCUUCUUUGGCAGUUGCUGGUGGUCUGGGCCAUUUCUUUGAUAUUUUUGCAACGGUACCGAGUCUGAAAGAGCCUUCAUAAAAACGAAAUUGUCUUCUGUGCUGAAUGAAUUUCAAAAUGAACAUGCAAAACAGUAAAGGAAAGAGGCAAAUGAACAUUUCUCACUGGAAUGUGGUGCAGUGUGAAGAUGGUGAGACAUUCACUGUUAGAGAAGACCUACUUCUUGAACAAGUUUCGAAUGAAAUGUCUAAAGCGCUUCCCUUGCAUUUACAUUGCAUACAUUUUAGAAAAUGGAUUUUAUAUUAAAUUCGGUUUCAAAAACUA